AUUCAUGAGUAUUGUGCUGCUUCCGGACAAAAGGUAAAUCUCACAAAGUCAAGUAUUUUCUUUGGGAAAGGUUGCCCUGAUGAGAUGAGAACGGUAAUCAAAGACACUCUCGAGGUCCCAAAUGAAUCUUUGGUUGAACGGUACUUAGGUUCACCGUCUGAUGUUGGAACAUCGAAAAACGGAGCAUUCAAAUACAUAAAAGAUAGAGUUUGGGCAAAAGUGCAAGGAUGGAUAGAGAGGUGUAUGGCUACUGCGAGGAAGGAAGUCCUGAUCAAAUCCAUGGCAUAG
This 288-nucleotide ribosomal RNA is filed under the name Triticum aestivum (bread wheat). RNAcentral describes it as "partial small subunit ribosomal RNA". The record is from RNAcentral. Lineage: Eukaryota; Viridiplantae; Streptophyta; Magnoliopsida; Poales; Poaceae.